This 240-nucleotide ribosomal RNA is filed under the name uncultured bacterium. RNAcentral describes it as "partial 16S ribosomal RNA". It matches the Rfam family "Bacterial small subunit ribosomal RNA", at positions 333 to 587 of the family's 1533-position model. The record is from RNAcentral.
UUUCGCCUACGGGACGCAGCAGUGGGGAAUAUUGCACAAUGGGCGAAAGCCUGAUGCAGCAACGCCGCGUGAAGGAAGAAGGGUUUCGGCUCGUAAACCUCUAUCAACAGGGACGAAAGAAAUGACGGUACCUGAAUAAGAAGCCCCGGCUAACUACGUGCCAGCAGCCGCGGUAAUACGUGGGGGGUAAGCGUUAUCCGGAAUUACUGGGUGUAAAGGGGGAGUAGGCGGCAUGGUAAG